Molecule: non-coding RNA, 4772 nt
Organism: Chlorocebus sabaeus (green monkey)
Lineage: Eukaryota; Metazoa; Chordata; Mammalia; Primates; Cercopithecidae
Source: RefSeq, a predicted model, not a curated record
UAAACCCGGGAAGUGGAGCUUGCAGUGAGCCAAGAUCCGGCCACUGCACUCCAGCCUGGGCGACAGAGCGAGACUCCAUCUCAAAAAAAAAAAAAAAAAAAAAAUCAAGUGUGUUUAAAGAAAACCCCAGCCUGCUCUGAUGUCAAAGAGCUGCCGAUCGGGUCCCCUGGGAAGGGAGAGUAGUAAUAGCCAAGAAGGAGCGGGUGCCCCGUGCCUUGGUGCUGAGCGCAUCUCCACGACGGCAGCACCUGAUGGAGGAAAGCUGGGUCAGCAUCGCUGCUCCUGGUCACAGAUCAUAGACAGCGCCCCGGUGCAUCUCAUAGCACCUGUGGCCCCUGAAUAGAACUGGGAAAGUGAAUGUUCUGCUUUCUGGGCGGGUUGAUGAUGGGAAAGUUGAUCAGCCUCAUUCGCUUGCAGAAUUCCACAGCUCAGAGCAAUCACUCUGUGUUCCUUUGUUCUCUGCUUCCUCACGCUUCUGUGAAUCCUCCAGUCAUUCAGAAUCAGAUGUUGCAUGUCACAGGUUGUGCCUUCUCUUGCUGUCCUCUUUCCCAGUGCUCAGUAAAUGUUGAUUAAAGGAAGGAAGGAAGAAUGGUUUAAGAUUGUUUCAAAAGCCUUCAGGGGGCCCUAUCAUGCAGAGAAGGAAAGUCCAGGCUCUCUCUGACACAGCUGGAAGAUGUCUGAGAGACUUCGCGUACCAGGGCAGCCUUGCAAGCUGCUGCUCCCACACAUGCCUCAGCUAUCAGUUUAUUCACCAGCUCCCAAAGUCACCCUGUAACCUGGUGGGUUUACACGUGCUGCUCUUGGUGCUGGAAUGCCUCGGUCCACCUUCCUCAUCCAUCCAAACCUACCUCCCGUGCCCCUCCUGGGAAGGCCCACCUUCUCAUAGCAGGGUGAUGCCGCCUGGUGCGUCUGCAGGAUUCCAAACUGCCUCCCGUGCCCCUCCUGGGAAGGCCCACCUUCUCAGGAUGACGCCGCCUGGUGUGUCUGCAGGAGUCUUCAGGCUCCACUGCGCAGCACUGGCCGCUUGUCUGGUUCCACGUAAGAACUUCCGUGUUCACAAAGGGUAUGUCUAGCAGACCUUUGAGGAUCACCGACUUUCCGAGUGCUUGUGCAUGCGCAUUUAGUCAUUCUUGGUAAAUAAAAUCCCUUUCAGACCUUUUCACUUUCUUCAUUCACCAGCCCCAGAAAGUAGCUUUAGUUUUAAGACCUCUUUUCAUCUUUCAUGAAGAAAUGAAAUGUCUGCCUCUUCCUGAGGAUUGCCAUUCCUUCGGGAGGGCAGCAGCUGUCUCUCCUCGACGUGGAGCUGCUGGGCGGUUUGCUCCCCCACACCAGCCCUGCAGAGCAGUGCAUUCGGCAGCCCCUGCUUCAGCUACUCCAAGGCGAGAGUGGGGGGCCCUCCCCUGCACCGCCUAUCUCGGGUCCCCAUCUGUGUAUGGACACGUCCGUCUCAUACCCUGCACACUCGCCUCUGCAUUCCUGGCACCUAGCAGCACCAGCCACAAAGAUUUUGAGCCAAUGACAAAGGUUGGGAGCAGCAGAGCUCAUGCAAGGAGUCCACACAAGGGUUCCUCACUUCUGACACCAACAGCACACUGAACGGUUCCCAAGCCAACUUCAGAUUCGCCCUUUUACCGUGACUCACAGAGCUCCCUGGACGCGGUUACGCUCAUAGUUACGAUUUACUGCAGCAAAAGGAUAUAGGUUAAAAUCAACCAAGAUGCACACAGGGCAGAGUCCAGGAGGGAAUCGAAUUCAGAGUUCCCACCAGCUCUCCCGUGGAAUCAGAUGUGUUGUGUUCCCAGCACCCACGUGUGGCAGUCAGUGCACAUGGAGUAUCGCCAGCCGGAGGUGCUCUCCCGAGCCUUGGUGUCCAGAGUUUUUCCCGGGGCUCUGACAUGAGCAGGAUUGGUCGGUUGAUUGCUCAGGUACUGCAUGGCCAGCUCCUGCCCUGUAUCCUAUCAUUAGCCAAGGACCAAGGCCAGUCCUCUUUUUGGGCAAGGUUAAAUUCUUGCCUUCCCUCCUAUCACCGUUGCUUCUGGCACCAUUGCCCUGGAGGAGCUCCUGGCACAGUGGUGGGGUCUCAGGCCUCCACCUUACUGUGCGAUGAAGAGCUUGAGGAGAUCGAGAAGGAGACUGGCCUUUCCCACCGUCAGAUCACUCGCCUGUGCAGGCGGUUCAGCAACCUGGACAAAGGAGAGAACAAGACGAUUUCCAGGGGAUUCCAGAACUUGCGAUCAACCCGGUAGGGAACUGGAUCAUCAAUGCCUUCUUUCCAGAGGGAGAGGACCAGGUAAACUUCCGUGGAUUCCUGCAAACUUUGGCUCCUUUCCGAACCACUGAGGAUAAUGAAAAGAGCAAAGAUGUGAACGGACCUGAACCACUCAACAGCCGAAGCAACAAACUGCACUUUGCUUUUCAACUAUAUGAUUUGGAUAAAGAUAGCAAGAUCUCUCGUGAUGAUGUUAAAGGUGCUAUGCAUGAUGGUCCGAGUACAUGUCUCCAAUGAGCAGCUGGGCAGCAUCACAGACAGGACCAUUCAGGAGGCUGAUCAGCAUGGGGACAGUGCCAUAUCUUUAUCACAGACUUUGCUAAGGUUUUGGACAAGGUGGAUGUAGAACAGAAAAUAAGCAUCCGAUUUCUUCACUAAAGGACAGACAGCAAACUGUUCCUUGCGGUCUAGUAUUUAAGAACUGGAACUUGACAGUCCUCCUGUCCACCAGCCCUACCUCCACCCCAUCAUUCCCCUUCUCCCAAAGUACCACUGCUGUUACAUGACAACCCCAAAUAUGUUCUGUCCACACAAACUUGCCUUUGGUCUAUAAACAGGGCAUUACAGAAUGGUACACCCAGUCUAUUUCUGCUCAGUGUCUAUUCACCAGUUCUUCACUUACAAAUAUUGUCUUCCUCUGUUCUGCUGCUGAAAGCCACACAUCCAUCCAGUCUGAGAAAGUAAGAUAGGAAAUCAUGCCGAGGAACAGGCCAGCAAAGCUCUUUCGCUGGAUGUAGGCUGCACCUGCUGCCUUCCCCGCAGCGAGUCUGCCAGCAUGCUUCUCCAUCCUUUUUAUAUGUCCUUUGCUUCCCACUUACGUGUACGUUCAACAUACGGUUCACCUAGUCAUGCAGUCUUGCUGCUUUUCGUGAAGCCUCAGAAUCUCCUCUGUUCUACUUGGCACCCCAAGCUAUGCCUGGUAUUGUAUUUCUGACUUGGUACGAUAGUUCAGUGGUCUGGCAGUUUUUAUCUACUUUCGUUAUUAAAUGGGCCCCUGGGAUGUUGCCUCCCCAGGAGCCUUUUGGUAACCAACAUUUCUGUCAGGAGUAUGAGAUCAUCCUCUGCACUGUGCUCUGUCAUCAGAGGGCGGCUGGGUGGACAUAUUCGUGAAAGGUGGCCUUGGAGAGAGGAGUGGAGUCAAGUCUUCUGGGUCGCUUGUCCACAUCACUCUGCUUCUGGCCUCUGAUUCUCAACUUUGUACCCAUGUGGCAUCUCUUGUUAGUGCAGUGUUGACUAUUCAAAAAGUAGCAAUAGGCCUGCAGGUUUGCUUAGUCUUGGGACGCCAUUACCACCAGAACGCCUGCUCUGACAAUAUGCUUGGGGACUGCCUGAUGGCUUUUUGAACAAGGAGGCUGCGCACCCUGUAAAGCCUCCUGCGUUCGCACCUCUGCUGCAUGGUUUGUGCCUCAGUGUUUUGUGCACUGGAAUGCUUUUCACUUGACGUUUCCAAGUUAGAAAGAUUAGUGUUACGGAAGUGCCUAACUUACCCCAGUCCAAAAUAUUUAAAGAUUGUUCUCUGUGUCUUGAAGUUUCGCACAAAAUUAUUUAUGAAUUUUACACUUGUCAAAUGUUAGUGCUGGAAGCCAUAGUCCGCUCCUAAUACAAGUCCAAAGCAUUGACUGUUGUGUCACUAGCUCCCUGGUUACAUUGGUUUCCCAGCUCCUUGUGUAGGCCACUGUUGAUCCCUUAGAAACAAGAGGUCUGGCACUAGUAGCACAACCUAAGGUGGCAUUCCAAGUCUUUGAGCAAGUCACAGCAGCUUUUCUUGCCAAAGUCAGCUUAGUUUAGACUUCAGUGGUUCAGGCUGUUGCUAUCCUAAUGUAUGUCUCUGUGAGUCUGUUCAUUCACAUAUCUGCCGUUGGCUGACUUUCUUGACUCAUUGCUUGCUUGCUUGUUUCCUUGCUUUGGAAAACUAUUGGAGAUGUGUACAUCAGUCUUUAGGAAGGGGAUUGUUUAAAAAUACCACUGCAAAGCGAUAGAAAAGGGUGGAGAACAGGGGAGUAGCCAGGCUGGAUGGCUCAAAUAUAAAUGAAUGAGGAAUUCUUUAUGAAGUAUCAAUUGGACUUUGUGAUCGAGUGAUGUAAUAUAGGAAUUAUAUAGAAAGAAGAAUAUCUGAUACUGAUCUGUUAGAUACUUCAGAGGCUCCUUGAUUUGCAUAUUUGCAUAAUUAAAAUUACGGCCUUUCCCUUCUUUUGGCUGCACAGCAGACUGUUUUAAUCCACGAUUGUGCCUUCUUGUUCCAUUAAAAUUGCAUCUUCAGUCCAUCAAUAAAUACUCAUGGUCAAAACAAAGCAAAAAUUCUUUACUGCACACUGAGUAAGGGCAGGGCUCUAUCAAUGUGCAUCGAGUGGCCUCGUAAGCUGUGAACAGAGUGGAUGUGGGACGUGGGGUGAAGUCUCUUCUGCCUGAUUUUAAGUCUUUGCAAACUUUUUAGACUGUAAGGAGCUAAGCUCAGUCUGUUCGUGAAAAUUGGUGGUGACAUGCCACGUGUGCCCUUCCUGUU